This 497-nucleotide long non-coding RNA is filed under the name Androctonus crassicauda. Lineage: Eukaryota; Metazoa; Arthropoda; Arachnida; Scorpiones; Buthidae. The record is from RNAcentral.
GACCUUAGCCUUAUGUGGACAACUUCAGGAUCUGACACCAGUCGGUUUCGUUGGAAACGAUACCGACAAACAGGUGGGUUUGCCUUGUGGGUAUUAAUGUGGGGAUGCCAGGAGGAGCUAUAUAAUAUUUUACAGGCCUUAGCCUUAUGUGGACAACGUCAGGAUCUGACACCAGUCGGUUUCGUUGGAAACAAUACCGACAAACAGCGAGUUUGCCUUGCGGAUAUUAAUGUGGGUUAAAGUUGUGAGUAAAGAUGGAGAGAUGCUCAAAGACACAACGAUUAACAGCUCGUAUAGUAAAGACCUAGGAUCUUUAUUCGUGAGAGAGAGAGAGAGAUACAUAACCCAAAUAGGAAGGAUAAAUACCUUAUUCACAGAUGUCUCUUGAUAGAUCUUGAAGUAGCACACAGAUUUAACAAACAAAAACGCGUAACAAUGUUUAGUUAUAGUUCAAAGUUCUCAAUGAAAUCUUCGCCCACGCAGGGUCCUAUUUAUAC